GACGAACGCUGGCGGCGUGCCUAAUACAUGCAAGUCGAGCGAAGUUUUUCUGGUGCUUGCACCGGAAAAACUUAGCGGCGAACGGGUGAGUAACACGUAAAGAACCUGCCUCAUAGACUGGGACAACUAUUGGAAACGAUAGCUAAUACCGGAUAACAGUAUUAACUGCAUGGUUGAUGUUUGAAAGUUGGUUUUGCUAACACUAUGAGAUGGCUUUGCGGUGCAUAAGCUAGUUGGUGGGGUAAAGGCCUACCAAGGCGACGAUGCAUAGCCGACCUGAGAGGGUGAUCGGCCACACUGGGACUGAGACACGGCCCAGACUCCUACGGGAGGCAGCAGUAGGGAAUCUUCCGCAAUGGGCGAAAGCCUGACGGAGCAACGCCGCGUGAGUGAAGAAGGAUUUCGGUUCGUAAAGCUCUGUUGUUAGGGAAGAAUGAUUAUGUCGUAACUAUACAUAGUAGAGACGGUACUAACCAGAAAGCC
Molecule: ribosomal RNA, 483 nt
Filed under: Gemella morbillorum
Lineage: Bacteria; Bacillati; Bacillota; Bacilli; Caryophanales; Gemellaceae
Description: bacterial SSU rRNA
Rfam family: Bacterial small subunit ribosomal RNA
Source: RNAcentral